RNAcentral lists this ribosomal RNA (253 nucleotides) under uncultured bacterium. RNAcentral describes it as "partial 16S ribosomal RNA". It matches the Rfam family "Bacterial small subunit ribosomal RNA", at positions 524 to 776 of the family's 1533-position model. The record is from RNAcentral.
UACAGAGGUCUCAAGCGUUGUUCGGAUUCAUUGGGCGUAAAGAGCUCGUAGGCGGUUUGUCGCGUCUGCUGUGAAAACUCGGGGCUUAACUCCGGGCCUGCAGUGGGUACGGGCAGACUAGAGUGCGGUAGGGGAGACUGGAAUUCCUGGUGUAGCGGUGAAAUGCGCAGAUAUCAGGAGGAACACCGGUGGCGAAGGCGGCUCACUGGCCCGGUACUGACGCUGAGGUGCGAAAGCGUGGGGAGCAAACAGG